ACUUGCAAAGUCUCGGCUUAGUUCCUGGCACUCUGAGGUCCACCUCCUUCCUGAGGCUGGUGGUUACCGUGCUAAUGAGCUAGGCCGCAGCGGCUAUUAGACAUGGCUGCGUGGGGUGUCCUGCCAGCCCAGCCCCGUCACCACGGGCUGCCUCGAGCAGCUCCCCCAGCACCAGGCACUCCAGAUGCUGAGCAGCAGAGUCUGCCCAUGAAGGAUGGAUGCACUACCCCUGCCUCCAUAUUCAGGGGUCUCAGGCAAGGAGCCCGUCCUCACUACACCACACAUGGAGGGCAUGAGGCUGGACCACACCAGAACGUCCCUCCCCCCGGAGCCUGGAGCUGCAGGUCUUGAUGCGGAGAGGUUUCCAUCUGGGUCUCUCCUCAGGGAUGACAUCAUCCGUCCACCUCCUUGUCUUCAAGGACCACCUCCUCUCCAUGCUGAGCUGCUGCCAAGGGGCCUGCUGCCCAUCUACACCUCACGAGGGCACUAGGAGCACGGUUUCCUGGAUCCCACCAACAUACAAAGCAGCCACUCACUGACCCCCAGGACCAGGAUGGCAAAGGAUGAAGAGGACCGGAACUGACCAGCCAGCUGUCCCUCUUACCUAAAGACUUAAACCAAUGCCCUAGUGA
This 632-nucleotide long non-coding RNA is filed under the name Homo sapiens (human). RNAcentral describes it as "maternally expressed 3". The record is from RNAcentral. Lineage: Eukaryota; Metazoa; Chordata; Mammalia; Primates; Hominidae.